GUCCAGACUCCUACGGGAGGCAGCAGUGGGGAAUAUUGCACAAUGGGGGGAACCCUGAUGCAGCGACGCCGCGUGGGUGAAGGAGCCCCUCGGUGCGUAAAGCCCUAUCGGCAGGGAAGAAAAGCGAACAGGUUCGCCUGGACGGUACCUGACUAAGAAGCCCCGGCUAACUACGUGCCAGCAGCCGCGGUAAUACGCAUGGUGCAAGCGUUAUCCGGAUUUACUGGGUGUAAAGGGAGCGCAGGCGGCACGGCAAGCCUGAUGUGAAAGCCCGCGGCCCAACCGCGGGACUGCAUUGGGAACUACCGGGCUGGAGUGCCGGAGAGGUAGGCGGAAUUCCUAGUGUAGCGGUGAAAUGCGUAGAUAUUAGGAAGAACACCAGUGGCGAAGGCGGAUGACUGGACGACAACUGACGGUGAGGCGCGAAAGCGUGGGGAGCAAACAGGAUUAGAUACCCCAGUAG
This 463-nucleotide ribosomal RNA is filed under the name uncultured bacterium. RNAcentral's name for it is "partial 16S ribosomal RNA". It matches the Rfam family "Bacterial small subunit ribosomal RNA", at positions 329 to 793 of the family's 1533-position model. The record is from RNAcentral.